GUGGGGAAUAUUGGACAAUGGGCGAAAGCCUGAUCCAGCCAUGCCGCGUGUGUGAAGAAGGUCUUCGGAUUGUAAAGCACUUUAAGUUGGGAGGAAGGGCAGUAAGCUAAUACCUUGCUGUUUUGACGUUACCAACAGAAUAAGCACCGGCUAACUUCGUGCCAGCAGCCGCGGUAAUACGAAGGGUGCAAGCGUUAAUCGGAAUUACUGGGCGUAAAGCGCGCGUAGGUGGUUCAGCAAGUUGGAGGUGAAAUCCCCGGGCUCAACCUGGGAACUGCCUCCAAAACUACUGAGCUAGAGUACGGUAGAGGGUAGUGGAAUUUCCUGUGUAGCGGUGAAAUGCGUAGAUAUAGGAAGGAACACCAGUGGCGAAGGCGACUACCUGGACUGAUACUGACACUGAGGUGCGAAAGCGUGGGGAGCAAACAGGAUUAGAUACCCCGGUAGUCC
RNAcentral lists this ribosomal RNA (450 nucleotides) under uncultured bacterium. RNAcentral describes it as "partial 16S ribosomal RNA". It matches the Rfam family "Bacterial small subunit ribosomal RNA", at positions 354 to 796 of the family's 1533-position model. The record is from RNAcentral.